Molecule: long non-coding RNA, 18495 nt
Filed under: Pelobates cultripes (western spadefoot toad)
Lineage: Eukaryota; Metazoa; Chordata; Amphibia; Anura; Pelobatidae
Source: RNAcentral
GAAAUGUAAGAACCUUUCUAUUCUACUAUUCCAAAAGUAAAGAUGUUCUUGGGAUCAAGUCAGUACAAUGCAUAAUUUCAACAUGUCCUUGUGGGAUGAUGGGAAAGAGCCUCUUUGUGUGCCUGUCUAUGUAGUUUGCUGGUUGACAGAUAUCUCAAGAGUCGCCAUAUGCAGUACGAAGAAUUGGACAACCUAUUAUUGGAUCUUCAUCGGUUUUCAGGUGAGAAUUGUUUUUGAUGAGUUUCAGAGUACUUCCAAGAAGUUGGAAAACAACCUUUGGUCUAGGAGGAAGUCCUACCAAUUGUGAGUGAAUCCAUUAAAGAAUGAAAUUGGCUGAUGUGAUUGGAAAGAGAAAUGUUUAGAAAUAUGUGGGAUGUGGGAGACCUGUCGUUUGCUUUAUGAUUCACAGGCUGAGGAUUUCUUCAGGGGACAACUGGCUAACUAAAGAGGUCUGUGUUGCUUUCUUCUUUAAAUGUAAUGGAUUUUAUUGUGUAAAAGUAUGGGAUAAUAUUUGUAAUGUUGUUGCGGGAGGGUUGUGUCUCUUUUUUUUUUCUAACCAAUAGUUUCAAAGAAGAGAGAAGAGCAUCUUCUUCUAUAGAGAAAUUGAAAUGUAAGAACCUUUCUAUUCUACUAUUACAAAAGUAAAGAUGUUCUUGGGAUAAAGUCAGUACAAUGCAUAAUUUCAACAUGUCCUUGUGGGAUGAUGGGAAAGAGCCUCUUUGUGUGCCUGUCUAUGUAGUUUGCUGCUUGACAGAUAUCUCAAGAGUCGCCAUAUGCAGUACGAAGAAUUGGACAACGUACUAUUGGAUCUUCAUCGGUUUUCAGGUGAGAAUUGUUUUUGAUGAGUUUCAGAGUACUUGAAGAAGUUGGAAAACAACCUUUGGUCUAGGAGGAAGUCCUACCAAUUGUGAGUGAAUCCAUUAAAGAAUGAAAUUGGCUGAUGUGAUUGGAAAGAGAAAUGUUUAGAAAUAUGUGGGGGACCUGUCAUUUGCUUUAUGAUUCACAGGCUGAGGAUUUCUUCAGGGGACAACUGGCUAGCUAUAGAGGUCUGUGUUGCUUUCUUCUUUAAAUGUAAUGGAUUUUAUUGUGUGAAAGUAUUGGAUAAUAUUUGUAUUGUUGUUGCGGGAGGGUUGUUUCUCUUUUUUUUUCUAACCAAUAGUUUAAAAGAAGAGAAAAGAGCAUCUUCUUCUAUAGAGAAAUUGAAAUGUAAGAAACUUUCUAUUCUGCUAUUCCAAAAGUAAAGAUGUUCUUGGGAUCAAGUCAGUACAAUGCAUAAUUUCAACAUGUCCUUGUGGGAUGAUGGGAAAGAGCCUCUUUGUGUGCCUGUCUAUGUAGUUUGCUGGUUGACAGAUAUCUCAAGAGUCGCCAUAUGCAGUACGAAGAAUUGGACAACCUAUUAUUGGAUCUUCAUCGGUUUUCAGGUGAGAAUUGUUUUUGAUGAGUUUCAGAGUACUUCCAAGAAGUUGGAAAACAACCUUUGGUCUAGGAGGAAGUCCUACCAAUUGUGAGUGAAUCCAUUAAAGAAUGAAAUUGGCUGAUGUGAUUGGAAAGAGAAAUGUUUAGAAAUAUGUGGGAGACCUGUCGUUUGCUUUAUGAUUCACAGGCUGAGGAUUUCUUCAGGGGACAACUGGCUAACUAAAGAGGUCUAUGUUGCUUUCUUCUUUAAAUGUAAUGGAUUUUAUUGUGUAAAAGUAUGGGAUAAUAUUUGUAUUGUUGCGGGAGGGUUGUUUCUCUUUUUUUUUUCUAACCAAUAGUUUCAAAGAAGAGAAGAGCAUCUUCUUCUAUAGAGAAAUUGAAAUGUAAGAACCUUUCUAUUCUACUUUUCCAAAAGUAAAGAUGUUCUUGGGAUAAAGUCAGUACAAUGCAUAAUUUCAACAUGUCCUUGUGGGAUGAUGGGAAAGAGCCUCUUUGUGUGCCUGUCUAUGUAGUUUGCUGCUUGACAGAUAUCUCAAGAGUCGCCUUAUGCAGUACGAAGAAUUGGACAACGUAAUAUUGGAUCUUCAUCGGUCUUCAGGUGAGAAUUGUUUUUGAUGAGUUUCAGAGUCUCUCAAGAAGUUGGAAAACAACCUUUGGUCUAGGAGGAAGUCCUACCAAUUGUGAGUGAAUCCAUUAAAGAAUGAAAUUGGCUGAUGUGAUUGGAAAGCGAAAUGUUUAGAAAUAUGUGGGAUGUGGGAGACCUGUAGUUUGCUUUAUGAUUCACAGGCUGAGGAUUUCUUCAGGGGACAACUGGCUAGCUAAAGAGGUCUGUGUUGCUUUCUUCUUUAAAUGUAAUGGAUUUUAUUGUGUAAAAGUAUGGGAUAAUAUUUGUAUUGUUGCUGUGGGAGGGUUGUUUCUCUUUUUUUUUCUAACCAAUAGUUUCAAAGAAGAGAGAAGAGCAUCUUCUUCUAUAGAGAAAUUGAAAUGUAAGAACCUUUCUAUUCUACUUUUCCAAAAGUAAAGAUGUUCUUGGGAUAAAGUCAGUACAAUGCAUAAUUUCAACAUGUCCUUGUGGAAUGAUGGGAAAGAGCCUCUUUGUGUGCCUGUCUAUGUAGUUUGCUGGUUGACAGAUAUCUCAAGAGUCGCCAUAUGCAGUACGAAGAAUUGGACAACGUAUUAUUGGAUCUUCAUCGGUUUUCAGGUGAGAAUUGUUUUUGAUGAGUUUCAGAGUCUCUCAAGAAGUUGGAAAACAACCUUUGGUCUAGGAGGAAGUCCUACCAAUUGUGAGUGAAUCAAUUAAAGAAUGAAAUUGGCUGAUGUGAUUGGAAAGAGAAAUGUUUAGAAAUAUGUGGGAUGUGGGAGACCUGUCGUUUGCUUUAUGAUUCACAGGUUGAGGAUUUCUUCAGGGGACAACUGGCUAACUAAAGAGGUCUGUGUUGCUUUCUUCUUUAAAUGUAAUGGAUGUUAUUGUGUAAAAGUAUGGGAUAAUAUUUGUAUUGUUGCGGGAGGGUUGUUUCUCUUUUUUUUUCUAACCAAUAGUUUCAAAGAAGAGAAGAGCAUCUUCUUCUAUAGAGAAAUUGAAACGUAAGAACCUUUCUAUUCUACUAUUCCAAAAGUAAAGAUGUUCUUGGGAUAAAGUCAGUACAAUGCAUAAUUUCAACAUGUCCUUGUGGGAUGAUGGGAAAGAGCCUCUUUGUGUGCCUGUCUAUGUAGUUUGCUGCUUGACAGAUAUCUCAAGAGUCGCCUUAUGCAGUACGAAGAAUUGGACAACGUAUUAUCAGAUCUUCAUCGGUUUUCAGGUGAGAAUUGUUUUUGAUGAGUUUCAGAGUCUCUUAAGAAGUUGGAAAACAACCUUUGGUCUAGGAGGAAGUCCUACCAAUUGUGAGUGAAUCCAUUAAAGAAUGAAAUUGGCUGAUGUGAUUGGAAAGCGAAAUGUUUGGAAAUAUGUCGGAUGUGGGAGACCUGUCGUUUGCUUUAUGAUUCACAGGCUGAGGAUUUCUUCAGGGGACAACUGGCUAGCUAUAGAGGUCUGUGUUGCUUUCUUCUUUAAAAGUAUUGGAUAAUAUUUGUAUUGUUGUUGCGGGAGGGUUGUUUCUCUUUUUUUUUCUAACCAAUAGUUUCAAAGAAGAGAAAAGAGCAUCUUCUUCUAUAGAGAAAUUGAAAUGUAAGAAACUUUCUAUUCUGCUAUUCCAAAAGUAAAGAUGUUCUUGGGAUCAAUUCAGUACAAUGCAUAAUUUCAACAUGUCCUUGUGGGAUGAUGGGAAAGAGCCUCUUUGUGUGCCUGUCUAUGUAGUUUGCUGGUUGACAGAUAUCUCAAGAGUCGCCAUAUGCAGUACGAAGAAUUGGACAACCUAUUAUUGGAUCUUCAUCGGUUUUCAGGUGAGAAUUGUUUUUGAUGAGUUUCAGAGUCUCUCAAGAAGUUGGAAAACAACCUUUGGUCUAGGAGGAAGUCCUACCAAUUGUGAGUGAAUCAAUUCAAGAAUGAAAUUGGCUGAUGUGAUUGGAAAGAGAAAUGUUUAGAAAUAUGUGGGAUGUGGGAGACCUGUCGUUUGCUUUAUGAUUCACAGGCUGAGGAUUUCUUCAGUGGACAACUGGCUAGCUAAAGAGGUCUGUGUUGCUUUCUUCUUUAAAUGUAAUGGAUGUUAUUGUGUAAAAGUAUGGGAUAAUAUUUGUAUUGUUGCGGGAGGGUUGUUUCUCUUUUUUUUUUCUAACCAAUAGUUUAAAAGAAGAGAAGAGCAUCUUCUUCUAUAGAGAAAUUGAAAUGUAAGAACCUUUCUAUUCUACUAUUCCAAAAGUAAAGAUGUUCUUGGGAUCAAGUCAGUACAAUGCAUAAUUUCAACAUGUCCUUGUGGGAUGAUGGGAAAGAGCCUCUUUGUGUGCCUGUCUAUGUAGUUUGCUGGUUGACAGAUAUCUCAAGAGUCGCCAUAUGCAGUACGAAGAAUUGGACAACCUAUUAUUGGAUCUUCAUCAGUUUUCAGGUGAGAAUUGUUUUUGAUGAGUUUCAGAGUACUUCAAGAAGUUGGAAAACAACCUUUGGUCUAGGAGGAAGUCCUACCAAUUGUGAGUGAAUCCAUUAAAGAAUGAAAUUGGCUGAUGUGAUUGGAAAGAGAAAUGUUUAGAAAUAUGUGGGAUGUGGGAGACCUGUCGUUUGCUUUAUGAUUCACAGGCUGAGGAUUUCUUCAGGGGACAACUGGCUAGCUAAAGAGGUCUGUGUUGCUUUCUUCUUUAAAUGUAAUGGAUUUUAUUGUGUAAAAGUAUGGGAUAAUAUUUGUAUUGUUGUGGGAGGGUUGUUUCUCUUUUUUUUUCUAACCAAUAGUUUCAAAGAAGAGAGAAGAGCAUCUUCUUCUAUUGAGAAAUUGAAAUGUAAGAACCUUUCUAUUCUACUAUUCCAAAAGUAAAGAUGUUCUUGGGAUAAAGUCAGUACAAUGCAUAAUUUCAACAUGUCCUUGUGGGAUGAUGGGAAAGAGCCUCUUUGUGUGCCUGUCUAUGUAGUUUGCUGCUUGACAGAUAUCUCAAGAGUCGCCUUAUGCAGUACGAAGAAUUGGACAACGUAUUAUUGGAUCUUCAUCGGUUUUCAGGUGAGAAUUGUUUUUGAUGAGUUUCAGAGUCUCUCAAGAAGUUGGAAAACAACCUUUGGUCUAGGAGGAAGUCCUACCAAUUGUGAGUGAAUCCAUUAAAGAAUGAAAUUGGCUCAUGUGAUUGGAAAGCGAAAUGUUUAGAAAUAUGUGGGAUGUGGGAGACCUGUCGUUUGCUUUAUGAUUCACAGGCUGAGGAUUUCUUCAGGGGACAACUGGCUAGCUAAAGAGGUCUGUGUUGCUUUCUUCUUUAAAUGUAAUGGAUUUUAUUGUGUGAAAGUAUGGGAUAAUAUUUGUAAUGUUGUUGCGGGAGGGUUGUGUCUCUUUUUUUUUCUAACCAAUAGUUUCAAAGAAGAGAGAAGAGCAUCUUCUAUUGAGAAAUUGAAAUGUAAGAACCUUUCUAUUCUACUAUUCCAAAAGUAAAGAUGUUCUUGGGAUAAAGUCAGUACAAUGCAUAAUUUCAACAUGUCCUUGUGGGAUGAUGGGAAAGAGCCUCUUUGUGUGCCUGUCUAUGUAGUUUGCUGCUUGACAGAUAUCUCAAGAGUCGCCUUAUGCAGUACGAAGAAUUGGACAACGUAUUAUUGGAUCUUCAUCGGUUUUCAGGUGAGAAUUGUUUUUGAUGAGUUUCAGAGUCUCUCAAGAAGUUGGAAAACAACCUUUGGUCUAGGAGGAAGUCCUACCAAUUGUGAGUGACUCCAUUAAUGAAAGAAUUUGGCUGAUGUGAUUGGAAAGCGAAAUGUUUGGAAAUAUGUGGGAUGUGGGAGACCUGUCGUUUGCUUUAUGAUUCACAGGCUGAGGAUUUCUUCAUGGGACAACUGGCUAGCUAAAGAGGUCUGUGUUGCUUUCUUCUUUAAAUGUAAUGGAUUUUAUUGUGUGAAAGUAUGGGAUAAUAUUUGUAUUGUUGUUGCGGGAGGGUUGUUUCUCUUUUUUUUUCUUCUAACCAAUAGUUUCAAAGAAGAGAGAAGAGCAUCUUCUUCUAUAGAGAAAUUGAAAUGUAAGAACCUUUCUAUUCUACUAUUCCAAAAGUAAAGAUGUUCUUGGGAUAAAGUCAGUACAAUGCCUAAUUUCAACGUGUCCUUGUGGGAUGAUGGGAAAGAGCCUCUUUGUGUGCCUGUCUAUGUAGUUUGCUGCUUGACAGAUAUCUCAAGAAUCGCCUUAUGCAGUACGAAGAAUUGGACAACGUAUUAUUGGAUCUUCAUCGGUUUUCAGGUGAGAAUUGUUUUUGAUGAGUUUCAGAGUCUCUCAAGAAGUUGGAAAACAACCUUUGGUCUAGGAGAAAGUCCUACCAAUGGUGAGUGAAUCCAUUAAAGAAUGAAAUUGGCUCAUGUGAUUGGAAAGCGAAAUGUUUAGAAAUAUGUGGGAUGUGGGAGACCUGUCGUUUGCUUUAUGAUUCACAGGCUGAGGAUUUCUUCAGGGGACAACUGGCUAGCUAAAGAGGUCUGUGUUGCUUUCUUCUUUAAAUGUAAUGGAUUUUAUUGUGUAAAAGUAUGGGAUAAUAUUUGUAUUGUUGUUGCGGGAGGGUUGUUUCUCUUUUUUUUUUCUAACCAAUAGUUUCAAAGAAGAGAGAAGAGCAUCUUCUAAUAUUGAGAAAUUGAAAUGUAAGAACCUUUCUAUUCUACUAUUCCAAAAGUAAAGAUGUUCUUGGGAUAAAGUCAGUACAAUGCAUAAUUUCAACAUGUCCUUGUGGGAUGAUGGGAAAGAGCCUCUUUGUGUGCCUGUCUAUGUAGUUUGCUGCUUGACAGAUAUCUCAAGAGUCGCCAUAUGCAGUACGAAGAAUUGGACAACGUACUAUUGGAUCUUCAUCGGUUUUCAGGUGCGAAUUGUUUUUGAUGAGUUUCAGAGUACUUGAAGAAGUUGGAAAACAACCUUUGGUCUAGGAGGAAGUCCUACCAAUUGUGAGUGAAUCCAUUAAAGAAUGAAAUUGGCUGAUGUGAUUGGAAAGAGAAAUGUUUAGAAAUAUGUGGGGGACCUGUCAUUUGCUUUAUGAUUCACAGGCUGAGGAUUUCUUCAGGGGACAACUGGCUAGCUAUAGAGGUCUGUGUUGCUUUCUUCUUUAAAUGUAAUGGAUUUUAUUGUGUAAAAGUAUUGGAUAAUAUUUGUAUUGUUGUUGCGGGAGGGUUGUUUCUCUUUUUUUUUUUAACCAAUAGUUUCAAAGAAGAGAGAAGAGCAUCUUCUUCUAUAGAGAAAUUGAAAUGUAAGAACCUUUCUAUUCUACUUUUCCAAAAGUAUUGCCUUUUGGGAUAAAGUCAGUACAAUGCAUACUUCUACAUGUCCUUUUGUGGGAUGAUGGAAAGAGCUUCCUUGUGUGCCUGUCUAUGUAGUUUGCUGCUUGACAGAUAUCUCUGUAAGAGCCUUUGUGGCGCAGUAAUGGAAGAAUCGGACAAAUCUAAUAUUGGAUCUUCAUCGUUUUCAGGUGAGAAUUGUUUUGAAGGAGUUUCAGAGUCUCCUCAAGAAGUUGAACAUGAAAAUCCCUUUGGUCUAGGAGGGAAGUCCACUCUCAAUUGUGAGGAAUCCAUUAAAGAAUGAAAUUGGCUCAUGUGAUUGGAAAGCGAAAUGUUUAGAAAUAUGUGGGAUGUGGGAGACCUGUCGUUUGCUUUAUGAUUCACAGGCUGAGGAUUUCUUCAGGGGACAACUGGCUAACUAAAGAGGUCUGUGUUGCUUUCUUCUUUAAAUGUAAUGGAUGUUAUUGUGUAAAAGUAUGGGAUAAUAUUUGUAUUGUUGCGGGAGGGUUGUUUCUCUUUUUUUUUUCUAGCCAAUAGUUUCAAAGAAGAGAAGAGCAUCUUCUUCUAUAGAGAAAUUGAAACGUAAGAACCUUUCUAUUCUACUAUUCCAAAAGUAAAGAUGUUCUUGGGAUAAAGUCAGUACAAUGCAUAAUUUCAACAUGUCCUUGUGGGAUGAUGGGAAAGAGCCUCUUUGUGUGCCUGUCUAUGUAGUCUGCUGCUUGACAGAUAUCUCAAGAGUCGCCUUAUGCAGUACGAAGAAUUGGACAAUGUAUUAUUGGAUCUUCAUCGGUUUUCAGGUGAGAAUUGUUUUGAUGAGUUUCAAGGUACUUGAAGAGGUUGAAACUUUAACCUUGCUCUAGGAGGAAGUACAAUUGUGGGUAGAUACAUUAAAAGAAUGAAAUUGGCUGAUAGCGUUGGAAGAAGAAAUGUUUAGAAAUAUGUGGGAUGUGGGGAGGCCUGUGUUUGCUUUUAUGAUUCACAGGCUGGUUUCUUUGAGGGGACAACUGGCUAACUAAAAGAGGUCUGUGUUGCUUUCUUCUUUAAAUAUGUGGAUGUUAUUGUGUAAAGGAAGUAGGGAUAAUAUUUGUAUUGUUGUUGCGGGAGGGUUGUUUCUCUUUUUUUUUCUAACCAAUAGUUUCAAAGAAGAGAAGAGCAUCUUCUUCUAUAGAGAAAUUGAAAUGUAAGAACCUUUCUAUUCUAUUAUUCCAAAAGUAAAGAUGUUCUUGGGAUAAAAUCAGUACAAUGCAUAAUUUCAACAUGUCCUUGUGGGAUGAUGGGAAAGAGCCUCUUUGUGUGCCUGUCUAUGUAGUUUGCUGCUUGACAGAUAUCUCAAGAGUCGCCUUAUGCAGUACGAAGAAUUGGACAACUUAUUAUUGGAUCUUCAUCGGUUUUCAGGUGUGAAUUGUUUUUGAUGAGUUUCAGAGUCUCUCAAGAAGUUGGAAAACAACCUUUGGUCUAGGAAGUCCACCACCAAUUAUUGAGUGAAUCCAUUAAAGAAUGAGAAUUGGCUGAUAAUGAUUGGAAGCGAAAUGUUUAAAUAUGUGGGGAGACCUGUCGUUUGCUUUAUGAUUCACAGGCUGAGGAUUUCUUCAGGGGACAACUGGCUAACUAAAGAGGUCUGUGUUGCUUUCUUCUUUAAAUGUAAUGGAUGUUAUUGUGUAAAAGUAUGGGAUAAUAUUUGUAUUGUUGUUGCGGGAGGGUUGUUUCUCUUUUUUUUCUUCUAACCAAUAGUUUCAAAGAAGAGAGAAGAGCAUCUUCUUCUAUAGAGAAAUUGAAAUGUAAGAACCUUUCUAUUCUACUAUUCCAAAAGGAAAGAUGUUCUUGGGAUAAAAUCAGUACAAUGCAUAAUUUCAACAUGUCCUUGUGGGAUGAUGGGAAAGAGCCUCUUUGUGUGCCUGUCUAUGUAGUUUGCUGCUUGACAGAUAUCUCAAGAGUCGCCUUAUGCAGUACGAAGAAUUGGACAACGUAUUAUCGGAUCUUCAUUGGUUUUCAGGUGAGAAUUGUUUUUGAUGAGUUUCAGAGUACUUCAAGAAGUUGGAAAACAACCUUUGGUCUAGGAGGAAGUCCUACCAAUUGUGAGUGAAUCCAUUAAAGAAUGAAAUUGGCUGAUGUGAUUGGAAAGCGAAAUGUUUAGAAAUAUGUGGGAGACCUGUCGUUUGCUUUAUGAUUCACAGGCUGAGGAUUUCUUCAGGGGACAACUGGCUAACUAAAGAGGUCUAUGUUGCUUUCUUCUUUAAAUGUAAUGGAUUUUAUUGUGUAAAAGUAUGGGAUAAUAUUUGUAUUGUUGCGGGAGGGUUGUUUCUCUUUUUUUUUUCUAACCAAUAGUUUCAAAGAAGAGAAGAGCAUCUUCUUCUAUAGAGAAAUUGAAAUGUAAGAACCUUUCUAUUCUACUUUUCCAAAAGUAAAGAUGUUCUUGGGAUAAAGUCAGUACAAUGCAUAAUUUCAACAUGUCCUUGUGGGAUGAUGGGAAAGAGCCUCUUUGUGUGCCUGUCUAUGUAGUUUGCUGCUUGACAGAUAUCUCAAGAGUCGCCUUAUGCAGUACGAAGAAUUGGACAACGUACUAUUGGAUCUUCAUCGGUUUUCAGGUGAGAAUUGUUUUUGAUGAGUUUCAGAGUACUUGAAGAAGUUGGAAAACAACCUUUGGUCUAGGAGGAAGUCCUACCAAUUGUGAGUGAAUCCAUUAAAGAAUGAAAUUGGCUGAUGUGAUUGGAAAGCGAAAUGUUUGGAAAUAGGUGGGAUGUGGGAGACCUGUCGUUUGCUUUAUGAUUCACAGGCUGAGGAUUUCUUCAGGGGACAACUGGCUAGCUAUAGAGGUCUGUGUUGCUUUCUUCUUUAAAUGUAAUGGAUUUUAUUGUGUAAAGUAUUGGAUAAUAUUUGUAUUGUUGUUGCGGGAGGGUUGUUUCUCUUUUUUUUUCUAACCAAUAGUUUCAAAGAAGAGAGAAGAGCAUCUUCUUCUAUAGAGAAAUUGAAAUGUAAGAACCUUUCUAUUCUACUAUUCCAAAAGUAAAGAUGUUCUUGGGAUAAAGUCAGUACAAUGCAUAAUUUCAACAUGUCCUUGUGGGAUGAUGGGAAAGAGCCUCUUUGUGUGCCUGUCUAUGUAGUUUGCUGGUUGACAGAUAUCUCAAGAGUCGCCAUAUGCAGUACGAAGAAUUGGACAACCUAUUAUUGGAUCUUCAUCGGUUUUCAGGUGAGAAUUGUUUUUGAUGAGUUUCAGAGUACUUCAAGAAGUUGGAAAACAACCUUUGGUCUAGGAGGAAGUCCUACCAAUUGUGAGUGAAUCCAUUAAAGAAUGAAAUUGGCUGAUGUGAUUGGAAAGAGAAAUGUUUAGAAAUAUGUGGGAUGUGGGAGACCUGUCGUUUGCUUUAUGAUUCACAGGCUGAGGAUUUCUUCAGGGGACAACUGGCUAACUAAAGAGGUCUGUGUUGCUUUCUUCUUUAAAUGUAAUGGAUUUUAUUGUGUAAAAGUAUGGGAUAAUAUUUGUAUUGUUGUUGCGGGAGGGUUGUUUCUCUUUUUUUUUUCUAACCAAUAGUUUCAAAGAAGAGAGAAGAGCAUCUUCUUCUAUAGAGAAAUUGAAAUGUAAGAACCUUUCUAUUCUACUUUUCCAAAAGUAAAGAUGUUCUUGGGAUAAAGUCAGUACAAUGCAUAAUUUCAACAUGUCCUUGUGGGAUGAUGGGAAAGAGCCUCUUUGUGUGCCUGUCUAUGUAGUUUGCUGGUUGACAGAUAUCUCAAGAGUCGCCAUAUGCAGUACGAAGAAUUGGACAACCUAUUAUUGGAUCUUCAUCGGUUUUCAGGUGAGAAUGGUUUUUGAUGAGUUUCAGAGUCUCUUAAGAAGUUGGAAAAAAACCUUUGGUCUAGGAGGAAGUCCUACCAAUUGUGAGUGAAUCCAUUAAAGAAUGAAAUUGGCUGAUGUGAUUGGAAAGAGAAAUAUGUGGGAUGUGGGAGACCUGUCGUUUGCUUUAUGAUUCACAGGCUGAGGAUUUCUUCAGGGGACAACUGGCUAACUAAAGAGUUCUGUGUUGCUUUCUUCUUUAAAUGUAAUGGAUGUUAUUGUGUAAAAGUAUGGGAUAAUAUUUGUAUUGUUGCGGUAGGGUUGUUUCUCUUUUUUUUUUCUAACCAAUAGUUUCAAAGAAGAGAAGAGCAUCUUCUUCUAUAGAGAAAUUGAAAUCGUAAGAACCUUUCUAUUCUACUAUUCCAAAAGUAAAGAUGUUCUUGGGAUAAAGUCAGUACAAUGCAUAAUUUCAACAUGUCCUUGUGGGAUGAUGGGAAAGAGCCUCUUUGUGUGCCUGUCUAUGUAGUUUGCUGCUUGACAGAUAUCUCAAGAGUCGCCAUAUGCAGUACGAAGAAUUGGACAACGUACUAUCGGAUCUUCAUCGGUUUUCAGGUGAGAAUUAUUUUUGAUGAGUUUCAGAGUACUUCAAGAAGUUGGAAAACAACCUUUGGUCUAGGAGAAAGUCCUACCAAUUGUGAGUGAAUCCAUUAAAGAAUGAAAUUGGCUGAUGUGAUUGGAAAGAGAAAUGUUUAGAAAUAUGUGGGAUGUGGGAGACCUGUCGUUUGCUUUAUGAUUCACAGGCUGAGGAUUUCUUCAGGGGACAACUGGCUAACUAAAGAGGUCUGUGUUGCUUUCUUCUUUAAAUGUAAUGGAUGUUAUUGUGUAAAAGUAUGGGAUAAUAUUUGUAUUGUUGCGGGAGGGUUGUUUCUCUUUUUUUUUUCUAACCAAUAGUUUCAAAGAAGAGAAGAGCAUCUUCUUCUAUAGAGAAAUUGAAAUGUAAGAACCUUUCUAUUCUACUAUUCCAAAAGUAAAGAUGUUCUUGGGAUAAAGUCAGUACAAUGCAUAAUUUCAACAUGUCCUUGUGGGAUGAUGGGAAAGAGCCUCUUUGUGUGCCUGUCUAUGUAGUUUGCUGCUUGACAGAUAUCUCAAGAGUCGCCUUAUGCAGUACGAAGAAUUGGACAACGUAUUAUUGGAUCUUCAUCGGUUUUCAGGUGAGAAUUGUUUUUGAUGAGUUUCAGAGUCUCUCAAGAAGUUGGAAAACAACCUUUGGUCUAGGAGGAAGUCCUACCAAUUGUGAGUGAAUCCAUUAAAGAAUGAAAUUGGCUGAUGUGAUUGGAAAGCGAAAUGUUUAGAAAUAUGUGGGAUGUGGGAGACCUGUCGUUUGCUUUAUGAUUCACAGGCUGAGGAUUUCUUCAGGGGACAACUGGCUAGCUAAAGAGGUCUGUGUUGCUUUCUUCUUUAAAUGUAAUGGAUUUUAUUGUGUAAAAGUAUGGGAUAAUAUUUGUAUUGUUGCGGGAGGGUUGUUUCUCUUUUUUUUUUCUAACCAAUAGUUUCAAAGAAGAGAGAAGAGCAUCUUCUUCUAUAGAGAAAUUGAAAUGUAAGAACCUUUCUAUUCUACUAUUCCAAAAGUAAAGAUGUUCUUGGGAUAAAGUCAGUACAAUGCAUAAUUUCAACAUGUCCUUGUGGGAUGAUGGGAAAGAGCCUCUUUGUGUGCCUGUCUAUGUAGUUUGCUGCUUGACAGAUAUCUCAAGAGUCGCCUUAUGCAGUACGAAGAAUUGGACAACGUAUUAUUGGAUCUUCAUCGGUUUUCAGGUGAGAAUUGUUUUUGAUGAGUUUCAGAGUACUUCAAGAAGUUGGAAAACAACCUUUGGUCUAGGAGGAAGUCCUACCAAUUGUGAGUGAAUCCAUUAAAGAAUGAAAUUGGCUGAUGUGAUUGGAAAGAGAAAUGUUUAGAAAUAUGUGGGAUGUGGGAGACCUGUCGUUUGCUUUAUGAUUCACAGGCUGAGGAUUUCUUCAGGGGACAACUGGCUAGCUAAAGAGGUCUGUGUUGCUUUCUUCUUUAAAUGUAAAUGUUAUUGUGUAAAAGUAUGGGAUAAUAUUUGUAUUGUUGUUGCGGGAGGGUUGUUUCUCUUUUUUUUUCUAACCAAUAGUUUCAAAGAAGAGAAGAGCAUCUUCUUCUAUAGAGAAAUUGAAAUGUAAGAACCUUUCUAUUCUACUAUUCCAAAAGUAAAGAUGUUCUUGGGAUCAAGUCAGUACAAUGCAUAAUUUCAACAUGUCCUUGUGGGAUGAUGGGAAAGAGCCUCUUUGUGUGCCUGUCUAUGUAGUUUGCUGCUUGACAGAUAUCUCAAGAGUCGCCAUAUGCAGUACGAAGAAUUGGACAACGUAUUAUUGGAUCUUCAUCGGUUUUCAGGUGAGAAUUGUUUUUGAUGAGUUUCAGAGUCUCUCAAGAAGUUGGAAAACAACCUUUGGUCUAGGAGGAAGUCCUACCAAUUGUGAGUGAAUCCAUUAAAGAAUGAAAUUGGCUGAUGUGAUUGGAAAGAGAAAUGUUUAGAAAUAUGUGGGAUGUGGGAGACCUGUCGUUUGCUUUAUGAUUCACAGGCUGAGGAUUUCUUCAGGGGACAACUGGCUAGCUAAAGAGGUCUGUGUUGCUUUCUUCUUUAAAUGUAAUGGAUUUUAUUGUGUAAAAGUAUGGGAUAAUAUUUGUAUUGUUGCGGGAGGGUUGUUUCUCUUUUUUUUUUCUAACCAAUAGUUUCAAAGAAGAGAAGAGCAUCUUCUUCUAUAGAGAAAUUGAAAUGUAAGAACCUUUCUAUUCUACUAUUCCAAAAGUAAAGAUGUUCUUGGGAUCAAGUCAGUACAAUGCAUAAUUUCAACAUGUCCUUGUGGGAUGAUGGGAAAGAGCCUCUUUGUGUGCCUGUCUAUGUAGUUUGCUGCUUGACAGAUAUCUCAAGAGUCGCCAUAUGCAGUACGAAGAAUUGGACAACCUAUUAUUGGAUCUUCAUCGGUUUUCAGGUGAGAAUUGUUUUUGAUGAGUUUCAGAGUACUUCAAGAAGUUGGAAAACAACCUUUGGUCUAGGAGGAAGUCCUACCAAUUGUGAGUGAAUCCAUUAAAGAAUGAAAUUGGCUGAUGUGAUUGGAAAGAGAAAUGUUUAGAAAUAUGUGGGAGACCUGUCGUUUGCUUUAUGAUUCACAGGCUGAGGAUUUCUUCAGGGGACAACUGGCUAGCUAUAGAGGUCUGUGUUGCUUUCUUCUUUAAAUGUAAUGGAUUUUAUUGUGUAAAAGUAUUGGAUAAUAUUUGUAUUGUUGUUGCGGGAGGGUUGUUUUUCUUUUUUUUUCUAACCAAUAGUUUCAAAGAAGAGAAAAGAGCAUCUUCUUCUAUAGAGAAAUUGAAAUGUAAGAACCUUUCUAUUCUACUUUUCCAAAAGUAAAGAUGUUCUUGGGAUAAAGUCAGUACAAUGCAUAAUUUCAACAUGUCUUUGUGGGAUGAUGGGAAAGAGCCUCUUUGUGUGCCUGUCUAUGUAGUUUGCUGGUUGACAGAUAUCUCAAGAGUCGCCAUAUGCAGUACGAAGAAUUGGACAACCUAUUAUUGGAUCUUCAUCGGUUUUCAGGUGAGAAUUGUUUUUGAUGAGUUUCAGAGUCUCUUAAGAAGUUGGAAAACAACCUUUGGUCUAGGAGGAAGUCCUACCAAUUGUGAGUGAAUCCAUUAAAGAAUGAAAUUGGCUAAUGUGAUUGGAAAGAGAAAUGUUUAGAAAUAUGUGGGAUGUGGGAGACCUGUCGUUUGCUUUAUGAUUCACAGGCUGAGGAUUUCUUCAGGGGACAACUGGCUAACUAAAGAGGUCUGUGUUGCUUUCUUCUUUAAAUGUAAUGGAUUUUAUUGGGUUAAAGUAUGGGAUAAUAUUUGUAUUGUUGUUGCGGGUUUUUUCUCUUUUUCAGGAGGAGAUGUGAUUGGAAAGAGAAAUUUCUGUAAAUAUGUGGGAAACCUGUUUUUCCUUUAUGGUUCACAGGCUGAACAUUUCUUCAGGGGAGAUCUGGCUAACUAAAGAGUUCUGUGUUGCCUACAUUUUUUAAAUGUAAUCUUUUUUAGCGUCAACAAGCAUGGAUUGCUAGUGGAUUGUUGUUUUGGGAGACCUCUGUGGACAGGUUGAGGAUUGGGUUUAUUAUUGCAUUGUUGUUUCUCCUGUUUUACAGAUUAGCUUCAAAGAAGAAAGAACACCUUGUACAGAAAGAAGAAUUGGUAAGUGGAAGAUGUUAAAGAAAGAUGGACCAUGAAAACCUUAUUUUUGUCUAUACAUCAAAAUUCUUUCAGGUGUUAAUUCUAACAAUGCUUAAUCACUACUUUUUGGCAAGUUUCAAAACGAGCGCAAUCAAUAAAUUUUAUUGUAUUGUUGUUUUAGUAGAAUUUUUCACCGUGGAGAGAAGACAAUCUACCAACACAGAGCCCAGAACUGGUAAUGGUCUCUCUGUUCCUAUAUUAGAAAUCUUUUACGCAAAAAUUAUUGCAUAUAUUUUAAUGUGUACCAAGUUCUGAUUUCACACUGUAACAUAACUUAUUAUGAUCUAAUAUUCAUGGUCCCACCACUGUCCAGACUUGUUUCACUUAGUUAAAUAGCUAUAAUAUAUAUUAAUUGUUACAAUUAUUAAAUGAGGAUUUUUCUUUCAAAUAUUGGUUGUCAUGCUUCUCUAGGUAUUUGAUGGGGCAAGCUAACUCACUCCUCAUAAUUUUGUUACCUAUGCGUGACAAAAUGCCUUUUGUCACUGGAUUUUUAAAUGACCAACUGCCCUUUGCCCUUGGCUGUUGGAGGAGCCUGAUUGCCAGCCUCCUCCCUCGUGACUGUGGCCCUGGGGUGUAUUGCCAUUUAAAAAGACUAUUUGGGGCUUACUGGCUUCUAAAAGACUGUUUCUGCCCAUUUGAAUCCAUGGGAAUAUGUGUCUCUUCCCCUCCCUCGUUUCCUGUCUAUUGUUCCAGCAGGGCGUUGUCCCAGGCACACUGCCAGACCAGUUGGAACUUGCUGUUGCCCCUCCUCUGUCUCUCAUCAGCUCUUGCCAUGUUUUAAAGGACCACUCUAGGCACCCAGACCACUUCAGCUUAAUGAAGUGGUCUGGGUGCCAGGUCCCUCUAGGAUUAACCCUUUUUUUUAUAAACAUAGCAGUUUCAGAGAAACUGCUAUGUUUAUACUGAGGGUUAAUCCAGCCUCCAGAGCCUCUAGUGGCUGUCUCAUUGACAGCCGCUAGAGACGCUUGCGUGCUUCUCACUGUGAAAAUCACAGUGAGAGCACGCAAGCGUCCAUAGGAAAGGAUUGUAAAUGCUUUCCUAUGCGACCGGCUGAAUGCGCGUGCGCAUUCAGCCGAUGACGUCGCGAGCAAGGAGGAGAGGAGGAGUACAGCUCCCCGCCCGGCGCUGGAGAAAGGUAAGUGUUUAACCCCUUCCUCUCUCCAGAGCCCGGCGGGAGGGGGUCCCUGAGGGUGGGAGCACCCUCAGGGCACUAUAGUGCCAGGAAAACAAGUAUGUUUUCCUGGCACUAUAGUGGUCCUUUAACUCCAUGGCGAUUUGACUGUGUUUGUGGCAUCUGAGCACUGUUCGGAUAUAGUGAGCGCCCAAAUCCAAGCUAUCUGGGGAUAGGUUGAAUGUGGGGGUUCUGUUAAGUAUAAUAGGAAUUAUGUAUUUUUAUGUGUUUUUACUGUUGUUGUGAAUAGAGCUAUUUUCUGUAUGCUGGAGGUUAUUGACUUACCACACCCAAGCCAUUCUUGCAGAUGGUCACAAAGGGACUUUCAACUAACUUUUGACCCACUGGACCAAUUUGUAUGAUUUUGGCGUAUGUUUGUAUUUGGAGUAUGCUGAUUUUGAAAAUGUAUGUGAAUGUGAUGUAUACUUUCAGAGUUAUGAAUAUUGUGUAAAACUGUGUAUUUUCCUGCCUGUGAUAAUUAAGUUAGACCAUUGUGUUCAGUAAUUAUAUCACAGGCAGAGGGGAGGUUUUUGUGUGGGGAUGUCUGAGUGUAUUGUAUGUAUUGAUUGGUUGUUCUGCAAAACACUGUGGGCAGUACUGUGUGUGUAAAAUGUGCAUAAAAGCAGAAUGUUUGAUUAAAAGCUACAGUUCUUCUUCACCCUCACACGUAGUCUUGUUUCGUGAUUGGAGGGCACAACUAAACUCACACUGGGGAUUGCUAUGCUCUGCAUACUCCCCUGAGCUGUAAUCACUUAGCUCUUUUAAGAGCUUGUUCCUGUUACGCUCUCCUGGAGAAGAGGUCUUCACCACAAGGUCCUGGAGGACAAAAGUUGAUCCAGGGUGGACGAGGACGGUGAGACUCCAGUUAAGCUACGGUGGUUGUGGUGUCUGGUGUGGUGCUUGUGGUCCUCGGCGCAAGCUAGGAAGCGUCCAUCAACGGAAGGGCUUAUAUGAUACUUGCCAUUGCAAACCUGGAGGCCACAGUCCCUAGUUGUAAAUUUCAACUAUCCAGGGCAAAAUUUACACUCGCUAAUGGUUAACCCCUUAAGGACCAAACUUCUGGAAUAAAAGGGAAUCAUGACAUGUCCCACAUGUCAUGUGUCCUUAAGGGGUUAAAGGAAAGUGGGAAUAUUGAGCUCUGUGUAGCAUAUAAAUCAGUGAGACACGAGGUCUCUAUAAGGAGGCAAGUAAAGUAACCUUUAAAUUGUAAGCUCACAGUCUAUCUUGACAAGUACUUUGUAGAAAAGAGCUUUAAUGGCUAGAUCUCAAGUCAUGGGCAGGGCCUUCAUUACCGUUUGUAUUGAUUUGUGUUUAUUUUACUGUCCUGUUUCUCAUUUGAACAGCUCUGUGGAAAAUGUUAGUUUUUAAUAAAUGCAUUCAUUAUAUGAUCUAAUUGAUGGUGUCUGGCCUUCCAAAUGAAAAUAAUGAUGACAAUCUUUUAGUAGAAUGAUUUGUUUUAGUUAUGUUAAAAACAUUGUGUGGUUAUUAUGAAAUGGUAACCAGAAUUAGUUCAUGUAGACAAUUAAUUUCCGUGUAUAUGUUCUACUGCCAGGCUGGGAACCUUAUGCAUGAAUAUCUGAAACAGCAGCAUCAAACACAGCCCGAAUCAUGUAGACAGUGGGUGCAAAGUCAAGAUAUCCAUGCGUUAAAGGAGAAGAGACUAAACUUUAUUGCUGGAAUUUGAAACAACAUCAAACACAGCCAGAAUCACAUACACAUAGGGAGCUGAGUAGAGAGAUUUGUGGGUUCAUGGAGCAGAGGUUUAACAUUACUGCUCAUUGAAGAAACAAGAUUAUGGCUCAAGAUUAUGCAAAAAAGACUUUUGGUCACAUUUUUCAUCAAAGUCAUCGUUUGGGAUUUACUUUCUACUUCUAAAUGUCUUUUGAGAACAUUUAUGGAACUUUAUUUUUCUGAAUUAAGAAAUUAAACUGUCAUGUUAUCUAAUGUUAUAGUCAUUUGCAAUUUAAUUCUAAGGCUGGAAAUGAUUGGGUAUCACUAAGAAAUAAUUACAGUUUUAAAAAGAAAAGACAAUUCAAAUGAGAACAAAAUACAUUAAAAUGUUAUCAAUGAAA